Molecule: small RNA, 462 nt
Filed under: Histoplasma ohiense
Lineage: Eukaryota; Fungi; Ascomycota; Eurotiomycetes; Onygenales; Ajellomycetaceae
Description: hypothetical lncRNA
Source: RNAcentral
GCAAAAGCCUAUGGCACCAACCUUCUUAUAACUCAGGCGCAGGGCCCUGGCGCACUCGAAGAUUUCGGGUUCACGCAUUUCGCGGCCGUUUUCUUUCAUGAAGUUCGGGAGGUCAAGUAGGUCAAACCUACCGGCGAUGAUGUUUUCGAACGAUAAUAUGGCUCCACCAAAGAAGUCGGGGAGGUAGACAGUUACAUUAGCCUCACGUGCGUAGUGGUCGGCUAAUAUGCGCAGGUUGGGAAAUGUCCAACCAAACAGAUCAUGAAUGAGCAUCACGGCGACAUCGGAGUUGUCGCCGGCAAUGUAGACGUCGUUAUUGCCAAGUUUCCCAACCCGUCCGGUUGGCGUACCGUCCCAUUCGAACCCUUUAAGGCAGCAGUCUGACGCUGACAUUUUGGCCGGUGGAAAGAUAUUGGCACAAAAAUAUAUUUGCAAAAUUGCUGGAUAUACCUUUUGCUGGAC